This 253-nucleotide ribosomal RNA is filed under the name uncultured bacterium. Its description in RNAcentral is "partial 16S ribosomal RNA". It matches the Rfam family "Bacterial small subunit ribosomal RNA", at positions 524 to 776 of the family's 1533-position model. The record is from RNAcentral.
UACGUAGGGCGCAAGCGUUGUCCGGAAUCAUUGGGCGUAAAGCGCGUGUAGGCGGCCAGAAAAGUCCGCUGUGAAAACUCGAGGCUCAACUUCGAGCUGUCGGUGGAAACUUUCUGGCUAGAGUCCGGAAGAGGAGAAUGGAAUUCCUGGUGUAGCGGUGAAAUGCGCAGAUAUCAGGAAGAACACCCGUGGCGAAGGCGGUUCUCUGGGACGGUACUGACGCUGAGACGCGAAAGCGUGGGGAGCGAACAGG